Molecule: non-coding RNA, 212 nt
Organism: Pelobates cultripes (western spadefoot toad)
Lineage: Eukaryota; Metazoa; Chordata; Amphibia; Anura; Pelobatidae
Source: the annotation of a GenBank genome assembly
AGUUGUAAUCCGUUAUUAUUCUAUUAAAUUUGCAACAUACAAAUGUAAUAGGACAUUUUUUUAUUUUUUUUGUCCCCUGUUAGUAGUGUAUCUUCUGACUGUAAAUGGGUUAGAACUCCAGCUAGCAUGUAAAGGAGCUUUAACUUUUAGGUUUACAUGUUUUCAAUUUUAUUUUGUUGCGCUGGUAGUCUAUGUAUUGGCUGAAAGAAAGG